This is a long non-coding RNA of Macadamia integrifolia, 288 nucleotides long. RefSeq lists it as uncharacterized. The record is from RefSeq and is a predicted model, not a curated record. NCBI's taxonomy places the organism in Eukaryota, Viridiplantae, Streptophyta, Magnoliopsida, Proteales, Proteaceae. The transcript is spliced from 3 exons.
GCGUCUGGCAACUAACGAAGGCAAAGUUAUCAAUCAGCCUACUACUAGUAACCACCAGCAGGGAGCAACAACAUCAGGGAGCAACAACAAAUAUAAAGAACAGAAACCAACUUUGGACAAGGGCAAGGGCGUAGCAAAUGACGGAAAAUGAUAAUGAUUUAUUUUAUUUUGAAAGAACUUGUGACUUAUAUUUUGGGUGCAUGGACAACUAUUAUGUUGAGAAAAUGUUUUUAUGUAGUUACAGACAUUAACAAUGCUAUGUGUGUAAUAUUUUAGGUUUAGGAUUUA